Pimephales promelas (fathead minnow) is the source of this 743-nucleotide non-coding RNA. The record is from RefSeq and is a predicted model, not a curated record. NCBI's taxonomy places the organism in Eukaryota, Metazoa, Chordata, Actinopteri, Cypriniformes, Leuciscidae.
UUCAUUAAGAUGUGAUAGAUGUGUGUGUAACUUUUACUAACGUUGGAGAAGAUGUAUUCAUGAGCAUUUAAAGGAAAAUAUUCAUAUCAUCUAACAUAUACUCAUAAGCAUUUAAAGGAAGAUGUUCAUGUAAUCCAAAGGACAUUGUUAAAGAUAUAACAAGCUGUUAGAAAUGCAUAAGUUAGAGUAAGCUUAAGGUAUAACUAAACUGUUAGAAAUGCAUAAGUAAUGUAAGCUUAGUGUGAGGACAUAAUGUUCUGUGUUUAACAAAGAAGCAAGCAGCAUGGAAACAUUUUAAUAGCUCAUUGUAUUUCAAGUGUGAGUUAUAUUUGUGCAGGGUUUUGAUCAAACAAAAGAUAAACCAGAACUUGCAACCAAGAGAUAAAUUGAGCAGAAAGGUGUGAGGUCGAACAGAACUUGCAACCAAGAGAUAAAUUGAGCAGAAAGGUGUGAGGUCGAACAGAACUUGCAACCAAGAGAUAAAUUGAGGUGUGAAGUCAAUCUGUACUUGGACAUAGGAAACUUAACACAAACGUCAUUGUGCUGUCCAAAUUAAAUAUAGACAAUCGGUAGCAAAACCAGAUAUAGCCUGCAUGGUUUCCUGGGUUUUCAGGUAUAUAAGGAUGAUGAGAAGGACUAGCCUUCGCCUUCACAUGUAGACACUGUUCUGUAUGUUGAACGCCAAAAGAUUGGAUGUGUUUUCUUGCAAGAAAAUAAACUUUUGAUACUUUGACUUUUGAAAA